RNAcentral lists this transfer RNA (68 nucleotides) under Abraliopsis sp. 2 FFA-2023. Its description in RNAcentral is "tRNA-Glu". Lineage: Eukaryota; Metazoa; Mollusca; Cephalopoda; Oegopsida; Enoploteuthidae. The record is from RNAcentral.
GUUCUUAUAGUGUAUAUAAGCACGUUAGAUUUUCAAUCUUUCAGAACAUGAUUGAAAUGUUAAGAAUA